UAGGGAAUAUUGCAAAAUGGGCGAAAGCCCGAUGCAGCAACGCCGCGUGGGCGAUGAAGGCCUUCGGGUCGUAAAGCCCUUUUUGAGGGGAUGAGGAAGGACAGUACCCUCAGAAUAAGCCUCGGCUAACUACGUGCCAGCAGCCGCGGUAAAACGUAGGGGCGAGCGUUAUCCGGAUUUACUGGGCGUAAAGCGCGUGCAGGCGGAUUGGAGAGUUGGAUGUGAAAGCUCCCGGCUUAACUGGGAGAGGUCGUUCAAUACUUCCAGUCUUGAGUGCAGUAGAGGGAAGUGGAAUUCCGGGUGUAGUGGUGAAAUGCGUAGAUAUCCGGAGGAACACCAGUGGCGAAAGCGGCUUCCUGGACUGUAACUGACGCUCAGACGCGAAAGCUAGGGUAGCAAACG
Molecule: ribosomal RNA, 402 nt
Filed under: uncultured bacterium
Lineage: Bacteria
Description: bacterial SSU rRNA
Rfam family: Bacterial small subunit ribosomal RNA
Source: RNAcentral